This 712-nucleotide unclassified non-coding RNA is filed under the name Drosophila pseudoobscura pseudoobscura. RNAcentral describes it as "GA12743". The record is from RNAcentral. Lineage: Eukaryota; Metazoa; Arthropoda; Insecta; Diptera; Drosophilidae.
UCUUUAGCUAAACCAAAUAUACAUACAUAUCUGUGCGCGAUAGGCCAGAAGAGCUGCCUCCAACUAACCAGCAAUUCGGACCACAAUUUAUGGAGGACAGGUCAUAUUCAGUUUCUUGUGAAAUAUACAUAUACUUGAUUUAAUUGAUACCACUGAUGGCGUCAUAAAAAAUAAAUAAAUAACUGCAGUUUGGAUUUGAAUCCUUCAUUCAAAUGAUAUCUGCCACCAAUUCUUGGCUCCAUUUUCCCUGGUCCACGCAAAUCGAAUUUAAUGUGAAGGAAGUUAACGCCCAACGCCCAAUCGCAUUUCCGCUCACUUUUCCACAUUCACACAAACCAUCGCGAACCCAAAGACACUGUAAAUUAAAUUGCGUAUACGAGCAGUUGCCAAUGCGGUGACAGGAGCAGCAGACACACUCCGCUGGCCCUUCCGUUACGGGCAUAAAUUCAAUAAUGCCAAGCGUCUGGCACUAUCAACGUGCUCCGAUGGAGUGUGGAGUGGCCGAUCGAUAUAGUUUCGGCUGAAAAAUGUAUUGUGUUUCCUCUGGAAGGAUGUUGUGGCGUCUUCUCUGUCGGUCCCAAUAUGUGAAUAUGAGCGGUUCGAUCGAGUUCGUUUAUAAAUGUGAUCUCAGCUUGUCUGAAAUAUUCAAAGGGAAAUAAAUAGUGCACAGUAAAGGGCCUAGCAAAUAAGGUGCUUGUAAAGUCUCUGGGUC